GACGAACGCUGGCGGCGCGCCUAACACAUGCAAGUCGAACGAGAGAGAGGGAGCUUGCUUCCUCAAUCGAGUGGCGAACGGGUGAGUAACGCGUGAGGAACCUGCCUCAAAGAGGGGGACAACAGUUGGAAACGACUGCUAAUACCGCAUAAGCCCACGGCUCGGCAUCGAGCAGAGGGAAAAGGAGCAAUCCGCUUUGAGAUGGCCUCGCGUCCGAUUAGCUAGUUGGUGAGGUAAUGGCCCACCAAGGCAACGAUCGGUAGCCGGACUGAGAGGUUGAACGGCCACAUUGGGACUGAGACACGGCCCAGACUCCUACGGGAGGCAGCAGUGGGGAAUAUUGCACAAUGGGGGAAACCCUGAUGCAGCGACGCCGCGUGGAGGAAGAAGGUCUUCGGAUUGUAAACUCCUGUUGUUGAGGAAGAUAAUGACGGUACUCAACAAGGAAGUGA
RNAcentral lists this ribosomal RNA (452 nucleotides) under uncultured bacterium. RNAcentral describes it as "bacterial SSU rRNA". It matches the Rfam family "Bacterial small subunit ribosomal RNA", at positions 28 to 493 of the family's 1533-position model. The record is from RNAcentral.